Molecule: ribosomal RNA, 461 nt
Filed under: uncultured bacterium
Lineage: Bacteria
Description: partial 16S ribosomal RNA
Rfam family: Bacterial small subunit ribosomal RNA
Source: RNAcentral
CCUACGGGGGGCAGCAGUGAGGAAUAUUGGUCAAUGGGCGAGAGCCUGAACCAGCCAAGUCGCGUGAAGGAUGACGGCCCUACGGGUUGUAAACUUCUUUUGUCAGGGAGCAAUUGAGUCCACGUGUGGUCUUAGCGAGAGUACCUGAAGAAAAAGCAUCGGCUAAUUCCGUGCCAGCAGCCGCGGUAAUACGGAAGGUCCGGGCGUUAUCCGGAUUUAGUGGGUUUAAAGGGAGCGUAGGCCGGUCUUUAAGCGUUCCGUGAAAUUUUUUGGCUCAACCAUGGGAUUGCGGCGCGAACUGGAGACCUUGAGGGCGCGGAAGGCAGGCGGAAUUCGUGGUGUAGCGGUGAAAUGCUGAGAUAUCACGAAGAACCCCGAUUGCGAAGGCAGCCUGCCGCAGCGUUACUGACGCUGAAGCUCGAAAGCGCGGGUAUCGAACAGGAUUAGAUACCCGAGUAGUC